GACGAACGCUGGCGGCGUGCCUAAUACAUGCCAGUUGAGCGAUGAAGAUUGGUGCUUGCACCAAUUUGAAGAGCAGCGAACGGGUGAGUAACGCGUGGGGAAUCUGCCUUUGAGCGGGGGACAACAUUUGGAAACGAAUGCUAAUACCGCAUAAUAACUUUAAACAUAAGUUUUAAGUUUGAAAGAUGCAAUUGCAUCACUCAAAGAUGAUCCCGCGUUGUAUUGGCUAGUUGGUGAGGUAAAGGCUCACCAAGGCGAUGAUACAUAGCCGACCUGAGAGGGUGAUCGGCCACAUUGGGACUGAGACACGGCCCAAACUCCUACGGGAGGCAGCAGUAGGGAAUCUUCGGCAAUGGACGAAAGUCUGACCGAGCAACGCCGCGUGAGUGAAGAAGGGUUUCGGAUCGUAAAACUCUGUUGGUAGAGAAGAACGUUGGUGAGAGUGGAAAGCUCAUCAAGUGACGGUAACUACCCAGAAAGGGACGGCUAACUACGUG
This 497-nucleotide ribosomal RNA is filed under the name uncultured bacterium. RNAcentral's name for it is "partial 16S ribosomal RNA". It matches the Rfam family "Bacterial small subunit ribosomal RNA", at positions 28 to 507 of the family's 1533-position model. The record is from RNAcentral.